Molecule: long non-coding RNA, 771 nt
Filed under: Physcomitrium patens
Lineage: Eukaryota; Viridiplantae; Streptophyta; Bryopsida; Funariales; Funariaceae
Description: long non-coding RNA (PPAT_LNC008232)
Source: RNAcentral
UACAAGUAAAUAUUACCUCAUUUUACUAUUAAAUUCUUAGUACCAAAUAUAAAAAAUUAUUUGUACAUCUAUUAUUAUAUAAGACAACUUGGGUAUAACACACAACUGACAAAGAAAUCUUUUGAUUGACUGCGAAGAAGUGAACUCAAGGAAUGUGGAGAAUAUGAAAACAAAAGAACAUAGAAACAAGGAAACAUGGGAUCAUGUAAACAUGAGAUCAAGAGAACAUAGAAACGUAGAAAAAUGGGAACAAGAGAAUAUAAAACAUGGGAACAAGGGAACAUGGAAAUUAAGGAAUAUGGAAAACAUGGAAAACAUGAGAACAUGGGAACAAGGAAACAAGGGAAUAUGGGAAUCAAGGAAUAAGGGAGCAUAUAUGAAUGAAAACGUGGAUGGAUGUGCCAGAUGUUGCAAUGUCUGACAACACAAUUUUCUACUAGUAUAUAAAUACAUACGAGUCUAUUGAUAUAUAAAUGAAUUUAAAAAUGUUUAUAUAUUAAUAUUAAUAUUUAUGCACAUACAUAUACACGCAAAUACACCCAUGUAGAGACCCAUGUCCUUUUAUUAAUCCGCUCAUUCACAUGCACAUUCAUCCCAAAAUACAUCAUCCACCUACUCAUUGCUCACCACUUCACCCAUCCAUUCAUCCAUCCAUACAUUCAUUCAUAUGCACAUCCACUCACAUACACAUCCAUCCAACUGGCCUAUCGCUCACCACCCACCCAUCAGUUCAUCCCACAUUUAAUACAUCCAUUUUGUACUUAAUCCAUC